UUGAACGCUGGCGGCAGGCCUAACACAUGCAAGUCGAGCGAGAAAGGGAGCAAUCCUGAGUACAGCGGCGGACGGGUGAGGAACGCGUAGGAAUCUACCUAGUAGUGGGGGACAACUCGGGGAAACUCGAGCUAAUACCGCAUACGCCCCAAGGGGGAAAGCGGGGGACCGCAAGGCCUCGCGCUAUUAGAUGAGCCUGCGUAGGAUUAGCUAGUUGGUAGGGUAAAAGCCUACCAAGGCGACGAUCCUUAGCUGGUCUGAGAGGAUGACCAGCCACACUGGAACUGAGACACGGUCCAGACUCCUACGGGAGGCAGCAGUGGGGAAUCUUGCACAAUGGGCGAAAGCCUGAUGCAGCCAUGCCGCGUGUGUGAAGAAGGCCUUCGGGUUGUAAAGCACUUUAAGUGGGGAGAAAAGGGUAGUCGCCAAUAACGGCUAUCUGUGAUGUUACCCACAGAAUAAGCACCGGCAAACUUCGU
Molecule: ribosomal RNA, 479 nt
Filed under: uncultured bacterium
Lineage: Bacteria
Description: bacterial SSU rRNA
Rfam family: Bacterial small subunit ribosomal RNA
Source: RNAcentral